RNAcentral lists this ribosomal RNA (497 nucleotides) under uncultured bacterium. RNAcentral's name for it is "partial 16S ribosomal RNA". It matches the Rfam family "Bacterial small subunit ribosomal RNA", at positions 28 to 507 of the family's 1533-position model. The record is from RNAcentral.
GAUGAACGCUGGCGGCGUGCCUAAUACAUGCAAGUCGAGCGAACAGACGAGGAGCUUGCUUCUCUGAUGUUAGCGGCGGACGGGUGAGUAACACGUGGAUAACCUACCUAUAAGACUGGGAUAACUUCGGGAAACCGGAGCUAAUACCGGAUAAUAUUUUGAACCGCAUGGUUCAAAAGUGAAAGACGGUUUUGCUGUCACUUAUAGAUGGAUCCGCGCUGCAUUAGCGAGUUGGUAAGGUAACGGCUUACCAAGGCAACGAUGCAUAGCCGACCUGAGAGGGUGAUCGGCCACACUGGAACUGAGACACGGUCCAGACUCCUACGGGAGGCAGCAGUAGGGAAUCUUCCGAAAUGGGCGAAAGCCUGACGGAGCAACGCCGCGUGAGUGAUGAAGGUCUUCGGAUCGUAAAACUCUGUUAUUAGGGAAGAACAUAUGUGUAAGUAACUGUGCACAUCUUGACGGUACCUAAUCAGAAAGCCACGGCUAACUACGUG